GCAAACUUGGUCAUUUAGAGGAAGUAAAAGUCGUAACAAGGUUUCCGUAGGUGAACCUGCGGAAGGAUCAUUAGUGAACAAUGUUUUGCUGCUAGGAGUUGAGCUGGCUCUGGCAUGUGCUCGCUCUGGCAGUGAUUCUUUUCAUCCACCUGUGCACCUUUGUAGGAAGGAGAGAUGCAUGAACGAGAGAGGUCUUUUCUAUAUACCUUUGUUGAGAAACGCAUCUUUCUAACCUAUGUCUUCUUACACACCCAAAUGAAUGUCUUGAAUGUCUCUUUUUGAAAGGGUAUUGAAACCUUUUAAAGUGUUUAUACAACUUUCAGCAACGGAUCUCUUGGCUCUCGCAUCGAUGAAGAACGCAGC
This 363-nucleotide unclassified non-coding RNA is filed under the name uncultured fungus. Its description in RNAcentral is "partial contains small subunit ribosomal RNA, internal transcribed spacer 1, and 5.8S ribosomal RNA". The stretch from base 1 to 73 matches the Rfam family "Eukaryotic small subunit ribosomal RNA", at positions 1759 to 1831 of the family's 1831-position model. Lineage: Eukaryota; Fungi. The record is from RNAcentral.